Molecule: ribosomal RNA, 423 nt
Filed under: uncultured bacterium
Lineage: Bacteria
Description: partial 16S ribosomal RNA
Rfam family: Bacterial small subunit ribosomal RNA
Source: RNAcentral
AUUUUGGACAAUGGGUGAAACCCUGAUCAAGACAUCCCGCGUGUAUGAUGAAGGANUUNNGGUUGNANAGUACUUUUGGCAGANNNNNAAAGCUAUCACAUAAUACGGGAUACAGCUGACGGUAUCUGCAGAAUAAGCACCGGCUAACUACGUGCCAGCACCCGCGGUAAUACGUAGGGUGCAAGCGUUAAUCGGAAUUACUGGGCGUAAAGCGUGUGUAGGCGGUUCGGAAAGAAAGAUGUGAAAUCCCAGGGCUCAACCUUGGAACUGCAUUUUUAACUGCCGAGCUAGAGUAUGUCAGAGGGGGGUAGAAUUCCACGUGUAGCAGUGAAAUGCGUAGAUAUGUGGAGGAAUACCGAUGGCGAAGGCAGCCCCCUGGGAUAAUACUGACGCUCAGACACGAAAGCGUGGGGAGCAAACAGG